This 1054-nucleotide ribosomal RNA is filed under the name Escherichia coli. RNAcentral's name for it is "partial 23S ribosomal RNA". It matches the Rfam family "Bacterial large subunit ribosomal RNA", at positions 344 to 1400 of the family's 2925-position model. The record is from RNAcentral. Lineage: Bacteria; Pseudomonadati; Pseudomonadota; Gammaproteobacteria; Enterobacterales; Enterobacteriaceae.
GGAAAGGCGCGCGAUACAGGGUGACAGCCCCGUACACAAAAAUGCACAUGCUGUGAGCUCGAUGAGUAGGGCGGGACACGUGGUAUCCUGUCUGAAUAUGGGGGGACCAUCCUCCAAGGCUAAAUACUCCUGACUGACCGAUAGUGAACCAGUACCGUGAGGGAAAGGCGAAAAGAACCCCGGCGAGGGGAGUGAAAAAGAACCUGAAACCGUGUACGUACAAGCAGUGGGAGCACGCUUAGGCGUGUGACUGCGUACCUUUUGUAUAAUGGGUCAGCGACUUAUAUUCUGUAGCAAGGUUAACCGAAUAGGGGAGCCGAAGGGAAACCGAGUCUUAACUGGGCGUUAAGUUGCAGGGUAUAGACCCGAAACCCGGUGAUCUAGCCAUGGGCAGGUUGAAGGUUGGGUAACACUAACUGGAGGACCGAACCGACUAAUGUUGAAAAAUUAGCGGAUGACUUGUGGCUGGGGGUGAAAGGCCAAUCAAACCGGGAGAUAGCUGGUUCUCCCCGAAAGCUAUUUAGGUAGCGCCUCGUGAAUUCAUCUCCGGGGGUAGAGCACUGUUUCGGCAAGGGGGUCAUCCCGACUUACCAACCCGAUGCAAACUGCGAAUACCGGAGAAUGUUAUCACGGGAGACACACGGCGGGUGCUAACGUCCGUCGUGAAGAGGGAAACAACCCAGACCGCCAGCUAAGGUCCCAAAGUCAUGGUUAAGUGGGAAACGAUGUGGGAAGGCCCAGACAGCCAGGAUGUUGGCUUAGAAGCAGCCAUCAUUUAAAGAAAGCGUAAUAGCUCACUGGUCGAGUCGGCCUGCGCGGAAGAUGUAACGGGGCUAAACCAUGCACCGAAGCUGCGGCAGCGACGCUGAUGCGUUGUUGGGUAGGGGAGCGUUCUGUAAGCCUGCGAAGGUGUGCUGUGAGGCAUGCUGGAGGUAUCAGAAGUGCGAAUGCUGACAUAAGUAACGAUAAAGCGGGUGAAAAGCCCGCUCGCCGGAAGACCAAGGGUUCCUGUCCAACGUUAAUCGGGGCAGGGUGAGUCGACCCCUAAGGCGAG